Molecule: long non-coding RNA, 2131 nt
Organism: Spodoptera frugiperda (fall armyworm)
Lineage: Eukaryota; Metazoa; Arthropoda; Insecta; Lepidoptera; Noctuidae
Exons: 2
Source: RefSeq, a predicted model, not a curated record
UUCGGCAUUUUAUUUUGAUAGUGCAUCUAAAUUGAAUAGUUUAAAUUAGGUAAAAUGCCGAGAAAUCUAAAUUGAGAUACAGUAGGUAUACGAUAUUGUGACAAAUAAGGAUGAGGAGGAUAUCUGAUCACCAGGUUCCUCGAGAAUUUUGUGAAAUGUAAGUGGUAGAAUUUCCUGUACACAUCGUUACUACUUGUACUCAACACUCAUCAUUCACACUCAUGCCCUUAACACUCGACAUUGUGAACCGCAAUGGACCGCGCUCAUGAAGAGCAUGAGGCGAUGGUCAGUGUACACACCAGACCGCACUCAUGAGGAACAUGAGGCGAUGGCUCUAUGCACACACUCACACUCGGACCGCACACAUGAGAACCAUGUGGUGAUGGGUCUGCACAAACUCGCAUUGAGACCGCACCCGUGAAGAACAUGGCUGUUGGGUCUUUACUCACAAGCACAUACUCACACUUACAUCAUGUACACACACUCACGUACAUGUAGGUACUUAAAAAAAAUAUGCCGACGAAUUAAAGUUAAACUGACAUAAUUCAGAUAAAGUAGUUCAAAUAGCAGAUACCUUAGAGGGUAGAUUAUUAGAGUAGUUGAAGGUAGUAGAACCUGUGUUUGAGUUUGCAAGGUGAUCGUAGUUUAAAAGAUGUUUGUUAAUGAGGGUUUCAGUGGAAACCAUGGAGUCUAGCAGAGACUCGGUGUUCCCAUGUGGGGUUCACGUGAGAGAGAAUAACUGUAUGGUACUGAACUGUGCGUAGCCGUGAUCACUUGUAAAGCUUGAAUGCUUUGAGUUACUUGGUAGAAUCAUUAUUUUGCGAGUAACUAUGUUUGCGAGAUAUCAGUUUCACCGGUUUUGAUAUUGAUUUGUUUCGAUACAUAGUGACGAGUUAAGUAACAUUUUUAAGAGGAUGAUGGUUCAAGUUUUAGAAGGUCACGCAUCAGCCGAGAUUGGUUUUGAUGAAGUUAAUGAAGCUCGGUAGAAACUCGGGUAAGGGGACUCUAGAAGCCAUUAUGUGUUUGUGCUGUCUCUAUUCGUUUGUUGUAUGUUUGUGUCCGAUCACCUCAGUAGCGGUCGCGUAUUCGCAACCCGGUCACAAACGGAAUCUCCGAGUGUCGCCUCGAGAGUCCGUUCGGUGCGCGGUACGAGUUUGGCUCUGACGGGGGUCGGCGGCUGUCUGUGUUCGGUAUGUUUGUGUUCGAUCACCUCAGUAGCGGUCACGUACUCGCAACCCGGUCACAAACGGAAUCUCCGAGUGUCGCCUCGAGAGUCCGUUCGGUGCGCGAUACGAGUUUGGCUCUGACGGGGGUCGGCGGUUGUAUGUGUUCGUUUUGUGUCGGGGUCUGUAGAGGCCAUGCGUGUGGUUGCCGGAGGGUGACCCACGGGAGAUCCGAGGGAUCUGAUCCAUGUGAUGGAUGUCAGCAAUGUGAUUGCUGGUCGGCUUGAGAGCCGGGGCACUGGGUGACUUGCUCGUGGACUCGAGUAAGGGCAUGCUAGGGGCCAUGUGAUGGAAGUCAGCAAUGUGAUUGCUGGUCGGCUAGAGAGCCGGGGCGCACUAGAUGUCUUACUCGGGAGUUUCUAGAGUUGUACUGAGUAGUUUGUAAUUUUUGUUGAAAAGAACGGCUGUGAUGCGUGAGCCUAACAGUUUGAUGCUUUUGUAAUUGUGUGUGGAAUGUGGUCAGGAAUGACCGAGCUAUAUGAUACUUUGCGUGUAAUUUUCUGUCACAGAUGAGCUGUCACACGAGGACGUGUGCAAGCAGGAUGGCCGUGUCGGGAUCGAGGGUAGAAUUGAAACACAGGCGUCCACCCUCGGCGCUCGACGGAGUCAAGAAUUCGUCGGCUGAGCGGCGUGUCGAUCACUUCUCGUGCAGCAGCCGACCAGUGCGGUCGAAUAUUGAACCGUCGUGUGUUUCAACUGUAUACCUAGUCUGUAACCUGUUAGUUUGAUAUUGUAACAGUUAAUUAUCUUUCAUGUACUUUGUAACCAUGUUUGCACUUUGAGAGUGACUGAGACCUCUGAGUUUGUUUCGGCAUUUCUUCUCAGAGUAGUCGGUAGGAAAUGCCGGCCCCAUCAGUAGCUUAAGUAAAGUAACAGUGCAAUGUACAGAAUUAAACAAUAGUUCCAUA